This 223-nucleotide ribosomal RNA is filed under the name uncultured bacterium. Its description in RNAcentral is "partial 16S ribosomal RNA". It matches the Rfam family "Bacterial small subunit ribosomal RNA", at positions 133 to 353 of the family's 1533-position model. The record is from RNAcentral.
AUACAGGGGAGUAACAGUUANAAAUGACUGCUAAUACCGCAUAAGCGCACAGUGCUGCAUGGCACAGUGUGAAAAACUCCGGUGGUAUGAGAUGGACCCGCGUCUGAUUAGCUAGUUGGUGGGGUAACGGCCUACCAAGGCGACGAUCAGUAGCCGGCCUGAGAGGGUGAACGGCCCACAUUGGGACUGAGACACGGCCCAAACUCCUACGGGAGGCAGCAUG